Solanum lycopersicum (tomato) is the source of this 572-nucleotide non-coding RNA. NCBI's taxonomy places the organism in Eukaryota, Viridiplantae, Streptophyta, Magnoliopsida, Solanales, Solanaceae. The record is from RefSeq and is a predicted model, not a curated record.
CAACAAUUUUUUUGUCAACUCUUCUUUAAUUAUUUAUAUAUCAUCAAAUUAUUACUCCCAAACUAACCCUAAUUACAAGACAAACCUAGUUAUUAGCCAGAAGAAGAAGUUGAAGAAACUAUAUUAUAUAAUAUAGUUUUAAUUUGGAUAUUGAUAAUAAUGAUGAUGGAUGAUCAAAGGGUUGGUGAUCUUCCUCCAGGAUUUAGUUUUGAUCCAACUGAUGAAGAGCUUGUUUUAUAUUAUCUCAAAAGUAAAAUAGCUUCAAAUUUACCCUUCAAUAUUCCUCAUUUACAUUUUUCUUCUUCUGAUCCUUCCCAACUCAAUGAAAGGGCUUUGUGGAGCAAAAAUCAAUGGUAUUUUUUCAGCCAAGUGAAGGAAAAUAAUAAUCGAGCUACAGGAAGAGGAUAUUGGAAGGAAUUAAAUAUGAAUGAGCCAAUUAUAUUAAAAAAUUGUGGUGAAAAAGAAAAAAUAAUAGGAAUAAAGAAGAAAUUUGUGUACUGUAUUACUAGUAAUAUUCAUGAACAGGUACAAACCAAUUGGAUUAUGGAAGAAUUUCACCUCACAAGAGAAAA